GGGGAAUAUUGCACAAUGGGGGAAACCCUGAUGCAGCGACGCCGCGUGGAGGAAGAAGGCCUUCGGGUUGUAAACUCCUGUCCGAGGGGACGAUAAUGACGGUACCCUUGGAGGAAGCACCGGCUAACUACGUGCCAGCAGCCGCGGUAAUACGGAGGAUGCGAGCGUUAUCCGGAUUUAUUGGGUUUAAAGGGUGCGUAGGCGGGCUGUUAAGUCAGCGGUCAAAUGUCGGGGCUCAACCCCGGCCUGCCGUUGAAACUGGCGGUCUUGAGUGAGCGAGAAGUAUGCGGAAUGCGUGGUGUAGCGGUGAAAUGCAUAGAUAUCACGCAGAACUCCGAUUGCGAAGGCAGCAUACCGGCGCUCAACUGACGCUGAGGCACGAAAGCGUGGGGAUCGAACAGG
This 402-nucleotide ribosomal RNA is filed under the name uncultured bacterium. Its description in RNAcentral is "bacterial SSU rRNA". It matches the Rfam family "Bacterial small subunit ribosomal RNA", at positions 356 to 776 of the family's 1533-position model. The record is from RNAcentral.